Molecule: ribosomal RNA, 465 nt
Filed under: uncultured Klebsiella sp.
Lineage: Bacteria; Pseudomonadati; Pseudomonadota; Gammaproteobacteria; Enterobacterales; Enterobacteriaceae
Description: bacterial SSU rRNA
Rfam family: Bacterial small subunit ribosomal RNA
Source: RNAcentral
CCUACGGGAGGCUGCAGUGGGGAAUAUUGCACAAUGGGCGCAAGCCUGAUGCAGCCAUGCCGCGUGUGUGAAGAAGGCCUUCGGGUUGUAAAGCACUUUCAGCGGGGAGGAAGGCGUUAAGGUUAAUAACCUUGGCGAUUGACGUUACCCGCAGAAGAAGCACCGGCUAACUCCGUGACAGCAGCCGCGGUAAUACGGAGGGUGCAAGCGUUAAUCGGAAUUACUGGGCGUAAAGCGCACGCAGGCGGUCUGUCAAGUCGGAUGUGAAAUCCCCGGGCUCAACCUGGGAACUGCAUUCGAAACUGGCAGGCUAGAGUCUUGUAGAGGGGGGUAGAAUUCCAGGUGUAGCGGUGAAAUGCGUAGAGAUCUGGAGGAAUACCGGUGGCGAAGGCGGCCCCCUAGACAAAGACUGACGCUCAGGUGCGAAAGCGUGGGGAGCAAACAGGAUUAGAUACCCGGGUAGUC